RNAcentral lists this ribosomal RNA (641 nucleotides) under uncultured Bacteroides sp. RNAcentral's name for it is "bacterial SSU rRNA". It matches the Rfam family "Bacterial small subunit ribosomal RNA", at positions 853 to 1501 of the family's 1533-position model. Lineage: Bacteria; Pseudomonadati; Bacteroidota; Bacteroidia; Bacteroidales; Bacteroidaceae. The record is from RNAcentral.
GAAAGCAUUAAGUGAACCACCCUGGGGAAGUACGAUCGCAAGGUUGAAACUCAAAGGAAUUGACGGGGGCCCGCACAAGCGGAGGAACAUGUGGUUUAAUUCGAUGAUACGCGAGGAACCUUACCUGGGCCUAAAUGUAGAUUGCAUUUCUGAGAAAUCGGGAUUCCCUUCGGGGCUAUUUACAAGGUGCUGCAUGGUUGUCGUCAGCUCGUGCCGUGAGGUGUCGGGUUAAGUCCCAUAACGAGCGCAACCCCUAUCGUUAGUUGCCAGCGGGUCAAGCCGGGGACUCUAGCGAGACUGCCACCGUAAGGUGAGAGGAAGGUGGGGAUGACGUCAAAUCAGCACGGCCCUUAUGUCCAGGGCUACACACGUGUUACAAUGGCCGAUACAAAGGGCAGCUACCGGGCGACCGGAUGCUAAUCUCUAAAGUCGGUCCCAGUUCGGAUUGGAGUCUGCAACCCGACUCCAUGAAGUUGGAUUCGCUAGUAAUCGCGCAUCAGCCAUGGCGCGGUGAAUACGUUCCCGGGCCUUGUACACACCGCCCGUCAAACCAUGGGAGCUGGGGGUGCCUGAAGUCUGCCACCGCAAGGAGCGGCCUAGGGUAAAACUAGUGACUGGGGUUAAGUCGUAACAAGGUAACC